RNAcentral lists this long non-coding RNA (897 nucleotides) under Gouania willdenowi (blunt-snouted clingfish). Its description in RNAcentral is "lncRNA (ENSGWIG00000021804.1)". Lineage: Eukaryota; Metazoa; Chordata; Actinopteri; Blenniiformes; Gobiesocidae. The record is from RNAcentral.
GUCUAGCAAGCAAACACACACUUCAGAGAGACUGCCGUGCCCUGCCCAGGGGGCCUCUGAAGAACGAGCAACAUACGUCACUAUUGACAUACAACCAGCCUCUAACAUAGGGGAGGGCAAAGGAUAAGGCCGGGCUCUCUCUUCCGGAGUGUACAGUUCAGUGAUUUGUGAAGCAGAAACAAUGACCUCAAUACGAGAGAGAGGUAAGAGCACAGGCUAAGGUGACAUGGUUUGUUGUGGACUUUGGCAGCACUCGCCGAACAGUACGGACUAAAGGGCUGCAGUUUAAGACCCCUAUACAAAUGGAAACGAUCGCCGAGUGCACCCAGCCAAUAGGCUUCGACUUCCUGUUUUUGAGACUGUCAAUCAAAGUGAAUGCGGAACUGUGCACGGAAACAAGGCCGCGCAUCACACCAACAAACAGGUUCAGACAGCCCAGCUUUGGUGUGGUAAAGGAUAUCCUGAGCGAACUGUUCCACGUUGGAAAAUUCAAUCAGGAGGUUUGUAAGGCAUGACAAAGGUUAAGGAUCAGGGUUUCCACUUUCCCAACAUUUAUAUCUCACAUGUUAGGGAUGUGGUCAGGGUCAGCACACUCCAUCACACUGACCCAGGAUAAACUAUCCAGAUUUAUGGAACACAAUUUUCCAUGAUCGCGGAAAACAGACGGAAAAUGCAGAACUCACGCAAUCAUCUGAACCAUUUUUUUUUUCUCUCCUCUUUAUUCAAAAUAUGGCCCCAACAUGACACGGAAGUACCUCACAUGCGUGUUUUGGGACAAUAUCACUCAUUUACACGCUAUUUUUCCACAAAAAAACAAGGGACUGAAUGUCUAACAAAUGUGAUUAAUUAAUUUAACUGUCAAAUUUCGCUCAUACACUUGUUUAAAAUCUAAUGGUA